CAGUCGCCACGGGAAUACGAAGGGGGCUAGCGUUGCUCGGAAUGACUGGGCGUAAAGGGCGCGUAGGCGGAAUGCCUUGUCGGGCGUGAAAUUCCAGGGCUUAACCUUGGGGCUGCGUUCGAGACGGGUAUUCUAGAGUGGAGAAGAGGGUCGUGGAAUUCCCAGUGUAGAGGUGAAAUUCGUAGAUAUUCGGAAGAACACCAGUGGCGAAGGCGACACACUGGCCCAUUACUGACGCUGAGGCUCGAAAGCGUGGGGAGCAAACAGGAUUAGAUACCCCCGUAGUCCCUGUCUCUUAUAC
Molecule: ribosomal RNA, 301 nt
Filed under: uncultured bacterium
Lineage: Bacteria
Description: partial 16S ribosomal RNA
Rfam family: Bacterial small subunit ribosomal RNA
Source: RNAcentral